This is a long non-coding RNA of Gasterosteus aculeatus aculeatus (three-spined stickleback), 1845 nucleotides long. NCBI's taxonomy places the organism in Eukaryota, Metazoa, Chordata, Actinopteri, Perciformes, Gasterosteidae. The record is from Ensembl.
CCCCCUGCUGGUCACUACAGAGAAGUAGAGUCAUUUCCUCAUAGACGUCUAUGGGAGCAGAGGAGUCGCCCCCUGCUGGUCACUACACAGAAUGCAGCUUUAACUCGUGACGCUUUGACUUGUCUUCUGAAGGUGGCCCCAUCGAUCAUGUCGGGUUCAUCUUCUGGAGGCUCUUUGUAUUUAAUAUUUAGUAUUAUUUACUGAUCUGUAAAAUGAUGAUUUGAUCUGUUUUGCUUUGUUCUCACUGAGGCGACGCUCCAACGUGUCACAUCCAGACGUGCAGCGCAGAUGUUUACUCAGCCUGCUGGCUUUAUUUUUAGACUGCGGCGGGGUCGGAGGUCGACUCAUGGGGGGCCCAACAUGUGUCGAGGCGGUCUGGAAAAACCGAUAGGCGAGAACGGGCCUCCGGGACCAAAGAAACACCUCUAAUGUGUUUUUAAAGUAGAACUGUUUAAUAUUCAAUCAGUCAGCGCUAACGAGCAUCAUUCAGUCUGAGUACGAUAACAGGGGGGUACCAGGUAGACUCUGGUACCCCCUCCCCGGUAAGUUGACCUCUGACCCCCCCUUACUCACUCAGAUGGGUUGUUUCCACCAAGCUGCAGCAGAUCUCCGCAGAGGAAACUUUGUGUUCUGGGAAAGCCCCGGACCCUCUGACACAUGCCCCCCCCCUCAGUAAUUGGGCCAAUUACUUUUCCAUAACAGCCCUGAAACACUUAUGUGUGUGGCUAGAAUAACAAUUUCCACAUGAAACCCUUGUUCAUUCAUAAGGGUCCGGGGGGGGGGGGUCUGCACCCGUCACAGGUCCGUAGAGACGAGCCGCUAUGACAUCAGAGGUUAAAGCUGUUCGGCUCCAUCUUCAUCACCUCCACCGCUCACUUCACGGAGUCCUCAGUUCUGACCUGUAACCAUCGCUUCAACUGCUUUCACUUUCUCUGUUUGAUCUGUUACGUGUCUCUGUAAUGAUCUUUAUUUGACACAAUGUAGAUUAUCGUCAUUAUUAGAAUAAUCAUUUUGUCAUUUUUAUAAAGUCUUCAGAUUAUUGUUCAUAUCUCUGUGGUUUGAAUCACAAAGCAGUCGGACCGAAGAGACGUUUAAAUAACUUUAUUGAUACCCUCUGUAAGGAUGACGUCGUGCUACACGCCCUGAUUUGAUUGGUUGAUGAGGCGAUAAGGAGCGCGAUGACAGCAGACGCCCCGCCCAUCCGAGGGGAGCACGUAGGGCCCAGCCACACCCGCUGACAGGGGAGGGGUCGAAGGUCAGUCUGCUCCACCCAAAACCACCCGGCUGCGCCCUCCUUCUUCUCCACCUCCUUGUAUGGAGCAUGUUCCUCCACCUCCACCCGCCAUAACUCCUCCCCCUUCCCUCCGCGGUGUGAACUGUUCACCUCAACUAAGUACUACGAGUACUACCUCACUGAUAGCUGUGUACAUGUACACUGAUAGUGGUGUACAUGUACACUGAUAGUGAUGUACAUGUACACUGAUAGUUGUGUACAUGUACUACCUCACUGAUAGCUGUGUACAUGUACACUGAUAGUGGAGAAGCUCCUCCCUGAAUCCAAACAUCUCCUCCAGAAGGGACACAUUGAAUAACUGGGACGAAGCAGCAGGACAAACACACACUUCCUGCAGGUUAACGAGCUGCACUCGACCACCUGUUGACGUUUCUGUCUUUAAACCAACAUCACGUCCGAGGUCGUCGGCGGCUACGGGAGCGAGACACGUGCAGCUCCAGUGGUCCCCAGAACAACCAGACGUGGGUCAAAACCACCAAGCAGAAGCUUCUUCUGAGCCGCUGUCACACAACUACACGGGAUCUAAAAUGUGGUGAUUCACCCGAGUGCAG